This 406-nucleotide ribosomal RNA is filed under the name uncultured bacterium. RNAcentral describes it as "partial 16S ribosomal RNA". It matches the Rfam family "Bacterial small subunit ribosomal RNA", at positions 30 to 526 of the family's 1533-position model. The record is from RNAcentral.
AUUGAACGCUGGCGGCAGGCCUAACACAUGCAAGUCGAACGAGUGGCGGACGGGUGAGUAAUGUUUGGGAAACUGCCUGAUGGAGGGGGAUAACUACUGGAAACGGUAGCUAAUACCGCAUACCAUCAGAUGCGCCCAGAUGGGAUUAGCUGGUUGGUGGGGUAACGGCUCACCAAGUCGACGAUCCCUAGCUGGUCUGAGAGGAUGACCAGCAACACUGGAACUGAGACACGGUCCAGACUCCUACGGGAGGAAGCAGUGGGGAAUAUUGCGCAAUGGGGGCAAGCCGGAUGCAGCCAUGCCGCGUGAAUGAAGAAGGCCUUCGGGUUGUAAAGUUCUUUCGGCGGGGAGGCGUUACCUGCAGAAGAAGCACCGGCUAACUCCGUGCCAGCAGCCGCGGUAAUAC